GACGAACGCUGGCGGCGUGCUUAACACAUGCAAGUCGAACGGAACUUUCGGGUUCAGUGGCAAACGGGUGAGUAACGCGUAGGUAAUCUGCCGCAAAGUUGGGGACAACAGUUCGAAAGGACUGCUAAUACCGAAUGUUGUACAAGUACCGCAUGGUAUUUGUAUUAAAGAUUUUAUCGCUCAAAGAUGGACUCGCGUCCGAUUAGCUUGUUGGCGGGGUAACGGCCCACCAAGCCUUCGAUCAGUAGGGGUUCUGAGAGGAAGGUCCCCCACAUUGGAACUGAGACACGGUCCAAACUCC
Molecule: ribosomal RNA, 301 nt
Filed under: uncultured Veillonellaceae bacterium
Lineage: Bacteria; Bacillati; Bacillota; Negativicutes; Veillonellales; Veillonellaceae
Description: bacterial SSU rRNA
Rfam family: Bacterial small subunit ribosomal RNA
Source: RNAcentral